Molecule: long non-coding RNA, 1803 nt
Organism: Daphnia pulicaria
Lineage: Eukaryota; Metazoa; Arthropoda; Branchiopoda; Diplostraca; Daphniidae
Exons: 7
Source: RefSeq, a predicted model, not a curated record
ACAAACCGGUCCGACGUGUCGUCUGCAGUCUGCAUCUUUUUUAAAGUUGAAUAUUGCUUUUUGCCAGGCUCUGUUCUUUCUAAUUAAAAUUAACACUUAUUUUAUCAAAAAUUAAACACAGAAAGUUUGGCCUUAUUGUAAGUUGUCCAAUUCUCAUUUGUCUGAAUAGUUAAGUUACUUAUUUUGUUAAAGGGUGCUAAAAACGCAAGCAAAUGUUGGUGUUAUUAAAGAAGACAAUCCCAAACUCAAAAUCAAAACAGAGCAGAAAUCACCUUACUAAAGACCUAAGUUACCUUUAGAAAGAUGUUUUCAUCGUUGUGAAAUUUUGAAAGAAAUCUAUGAUGCAGAAAUGAUUGUUUACAUACAUUUCCCCAAUUACAAAGUUUCAGCAAUUAACUUAAUGCAAUGGAUAUGGUGAUGUUGCUUUAAGCAUUGUGUUAAUGUUCAAGGAGUAUGGAGAGAGAUUUUUUGGGAGUUUUAAUAAUUCUGCUAAAGCAUCUCAACAAAACUCGAUGAUGGGUUAGCAAGAAAAGUUAAGUUUUAAGUGUUUUUGUUCAUAGGUUUAUUUUUAAUUAUCAUUUCUUGUUUCAGAUCACAACACAUUUUUCUGGUCUAAGCAAAAACAGAAAUGUUAGUUUUAAUAACUCUGUAAAAACACCCCACCAAAAACAAGAUUAUGGUUUUCCCAUUGAAACUACAAGUUCUUUUCCGAAGUGAAACUGCAGUCUAUUACUACUGCAUCACAAGUUUCUGAAGCCAGAUUCAUCGACUGUUAUGAGUCCUGGCAGCUUCAGGAGUGACAAGAGGAUUUUUGUUAAUGGGUGCUAAAAAAUCAAAUGCUGGUGUUUCUAAAGAAGAGAAACCCAAACCCAAAUCAUGGCAGAACAAACACCGCCUAAAACUUGACAUUUUUCGUCGUUGCGAAACUUUGAAAGAAGAAUGCUGAAAUUAUAAUAUUUAUACAUUUUCCCAGUUCUAAAGAUACCGCAACUUAUUGCAAUGCAUAUGUUGGUGUUGCCUUAAGCUAUGUGUCUAGGUUCAAGGGGUACGGAGAAAAGUUUUUGAGAGAAGUACUAAAUCUGCUGAAGCACCUCGACAAGAACUAGAUGAUUUAUCGAGUGAAAUUACAAGAAAUAUUCCUGAUGGAAGUGAAAACACAGAUGAUAGUGAUAGCCUAAAUAACUCUGUUAAAGCACCUCAGCAAGAACUAAAUGAGAAUGGCUCUUCCAAUAAAAAUUAUAACUGAUUUUACAUUCCAAACUGAAACUACAGCGGAUUUCUUCUGCAUCAUAAAUUUUUGAAGUUCCAUUAGUUCCAUAUUCAUCGACGGUUGUUACGCGUCGAGGAGUGACAAGAGGACUUAAAAGAUUUUCCAGUGUCCUUGAGAACAAAAGGAGAAAUUGGUAUGGAAAAAGGAAGAGGACAGAUGAAUGUUGUAUUUCCCGUAAUGCUACGUACAUCUAGCCCAUCUCCUCCCUUCUCGCCUACCCCUAGUCUUUCUCCUACUCCUACAGCGUCGCUUUCGUCUUGUCCACCUAAGACCGAUACUGUUUUAAAGGUGAAGAAUAAAGAUGUCAUCAAACCUCUCAAGGGUUAUUUUUACGGGGACCCGAAGGAAAGGGAUCGUUCGUUGUACUAAGCGAACCUCAGUUUAAUUGCUCUCCUACAGAAUAUUUUUGUUAAAAUUGAUUUUCUUUCUCAUUGUAAAAUGUAAACAUGUCUAACAUCUAAGUCUGUCUGCACUUUGUACAGUAGGAGAAGCGAGAAUUGUUUUGUAAAAUAUACUAGACAUUUUUAAUAAAA